UGUGCACUGCUGCCAAGGCUUUGCUUGGGCAGCACGUGAGCUCUAUUCCGGAGGCGAAACGGGAGCCGGAGAGACACACGCGGUACCCCGCGAAGGAACACCUCUGUGCGAUGCUUGUGCAUUUUCGAAGGUCAGCUGCCUAGCGCUGCGCCGCCAGCCGGAUUCGGUUUCUGUUUCUGUUUUUCUCGCUCAACACGCACUGAGGCACAAGCAUUUUAUUGCUUCCUCCUCUUGUUGGAGCAGGGGGCCAUCACAACACAUACGGCACCCUACACGCAGACAAACAUAUAUGCAUACACUCUCUCAUCCAAUGAAGUCUUCCGUGCCUAAAAGUGGAAAGCUGCCUCCGCUGCGCAGCACCACCGUUCUUCUCCCGCCGCUGACGAGUCCACAGAGCACCGCGGCCGGCUACACGUCCAUUCGGCUGGACACGUAUCAUGACACAAGUGAUUUAAGGGCGGCACUGCACCAAAUAGAGGCGGCCUUUGCGCCUGCGGAUCGAGAGGCACCUACAGUGCCGAAGCUAACCGCGGCGGCAGCAGGCGCCGCCGCCAACGUGAGCAAGUCGGACAAAAAGACCAAAGCGAUGGCGAACGUGCGGCUAGCGAAGAUAGGCGACAGUGCUUCAUCUCGGCCCACCAUUGUUGUCGAGAAGAGCACUGCGAUACCGCCAAGGCUGCCAAGGAUAGGUCCACCGGCGAUUUUGCGGCUGCCGCCGCAGCUCGUGAUUCACUGCUUCUGCUUCUGCAACCUGCAGACGCUGGGUGUGCUUUGCAGGGUGUCGGUGCGGAUGAAUGUGCUUGUGGCGCGCCAGGGAGCCGAGUUGUGGCUCGCGGCGGCUCAGCGGCGCCGAAUCCCGAUUUCGGACUCUGCGUGUGCGCGAGAGGAACUGCGCAAGGCGCUGGUGCACCGCGCACGCGAGCGGCAGGCCGAGGAGGCAUACUACGAAGCAGAGAUAGCCAGGAUGGAGGAGCGGCUCUCGGCGCGCGCACAGUACAUCUACGCCCAAAACAUCGAUGUCGAUCGCACACUGGAAACGAACGGUGGGCCGCCAACGGCAGCUGCUGCGAACCCUCAGCCGUUCUGGCUCAGGCAGAAGCGUACGCUGCAGGCAAGAGCGGGUGCGACAGCUGGCUCUGCAGAUGCCGCUCCCACAGCGCUGUCACAGUCGGCUGACAUGUGCGCUAAGUUGCAGACAGAGAUAGAGGCACUGGAGGAGGUGAAGCGAGCCUGCGAGUGCCGCCUGAAUCUUCAGGAGGAACUACUGCUGCAGCACGAUGCACAGUUGCGCCAGUGGCAGUCGCUGCUGCUUCCUUGCAAGAUGUCUUCACCGAAGUCGUCUCUUGCACCAGCGUCUGCUGGAGCCGCAGCCGCCUCUUUCAACACAAAGAAUGAGUCAGCGGCAGCGGUCGCGUCUUCCCUGUUGCUGGUCUCCGCAGCGCAAGUUGACGAGUUUGAGCGUCGCAUGGCGCGCCUCGUUCUCAACGGCCCCGUUUCGACUUCAUCAGCCUCGAUAACGCACGCAUCGCCAGGCGAAUCAAGUCUGCCUGUCGUGCUGCGGCGCGGUGUGGAGAACUUUGGGAGCCUGGAGCUAGUCUUGCGCGCGGUUAAGCGUAUCGAACCUACUACUGACCUCGAUCCCGCGAAUCGGGAUACCGUGACUACGGGCAACAACAUGAGCACUGCCACCGCGGCCACGGCUGCUGAAGCUGCGUCUUUUGAAGGCGCGGCGCGAGCCGCUGCGAAGCGCUGGGGCGCUUUUCAGAAGAUUUGCCCGAUUAAUGAGGAGUACGGAAAUGCACGUCUCUUCUUGAAAGCGCAGGCAUCGCGAGCCGUGCCAGCGCCUACAGCUCAUCUACAUACCAACACUGACGGACGCAGCCCCGCAAAUAACGACGAGCAACUGCAACAACAGCCUUCGCCGAAACCGACGCCGGCACUGCUUCGGCUGUCUGACUUUGUACGCCGCGCAGAGGCGAUGUCAGACGCACAGGUGCUUCAAAAAUGGAUGUAAACUACGACUGAGCAGGUGCUAAGCCUCCUUUUCUUCCGCCUUUGGUGUCGCUCCUGUCGGUGUGCACUGCCCUCCCCUCCCCCUUCCGUCUCUUGGGCCACGUUGGCAAG
RNAcentral lists this unclassified non-coding RNA (2124 nucleotides) under Leishmania donovani. Its description in RNAcentral is "gene:LdHU3.34.2050(CDS-product:hypothetical_prote in_conserved)". Lineage: Eukaryota; Euglenozoa; Kinetoplastea; Trypanosomatida; Trypanosomatidae. The record is from RNAcentral.